AGGAUCUCAGGUGACGACUAUGACAAACGGUGGUGUUGUGAUGGAACGGCAUGUCUCUUCGGUGGACUGUGAUGACUCAAGGUGUGAGCCGUGGUGGUUGGUGAACGGUGAUUACGUCUCGUCUUCUCCGAUAGACAGCCAUGCACAUGUGAAGAAGAAGGGAACCAGAGAGAGAGAUAUAGAUUAAUGGAGGAGGCGGCUGAUCUUUCUCUCGAUACACCAAACCUUCUCUCGCUUUAGGUUUUAGAAGGGAUUAUAUACACAUGGAUAUAUAUAUAUAUAUAACUCGGUUCAUUAGUGGUUAGGUUCAAUCAAAUAAUUAAAUUAAACCAUGAGCUACUAAACCAAAAUCAGGGUCGUUACAAAAAAUCCAAACUUUCUAUCCGUAGAAACUGAGUGUAAGUAAAGAGAGAGAGUGAUAAGUAAAAUAAAGAAAUUAGCACUCCUAUACACCGAUAACUGCUAUAUUUGCACCGAUGGAAUUAUGCUUUUUUUGAUGCUGUGUUUUUUUUAAUGGCAGUUUUGUCCCUACCUUUUUCUACACAACUUAUUUCGUAUGUUUUCCAAAAUCUCUAUAUCUCUCUCCUCUCUCCUUAUCUCGCCCCCUUUUCUUUCUUCUUCUACUCCUUCCUCCUCGAAGCACCAAUCUAGUUUCAAAUCCCAUCCUCCACUCUCUUGCGUAUUCGUAUAAAUACAUAUACAGAACUGCUCAAACCUUUUCGAUUUGGUCCCAGAUUCAGUUACCAGAAGCUAUAUUCGUUUGAAAAAUAGAGGAUGGUUGGGAGUGGUACUAGGGUUUCGAUUCCGGCGGAUACCAAGAAGACGAAGAGAUCACUGCUGGGAACUAUAGUGAGGAUGAGAUUCACGCAAUCCUCCUUGUAUGCAAUAUGAAUCCCAUGACGCUGCUCAACGCCUUCGUCUUCAGGAUCAUGUCACUAGUUGAUGUUAUUGUUUUGUUUGAUGAGCACAUAAUGGCUUCUGGAUAUCAAUCUUUGGAACCAUCAAUGAACUGCCUAGUCAACAACCUCCACAAAAGCACCUUGGCAAAUUACGUGUAUACUGGAAUCAGAGGAGCAGCGUAUAUGGACUUCUUGGACAGUGUUCUUUGUGAUUCUUUACGAGCAAAUGCUAUCAACAUAUCUAUAACUAACUGCUAGACUGUUAACAUAUUUAAUAGCCUUCAAUGUUAGACUGCUAACAAUUUUAAUAGCAUAUAACCAUUUAUCUGUUUAUGUAUCUUCGAAUAAUAUUGUGGUAUUGUUAGCAUGUUUUAUGACAUUGUUGGCAUGUUAGCAUAUCUAUUAACAUAUAACAGUGUUCUUUAAA
Brassica napus (rape) is the source of this 1326-nucleotide long non-coding RNA. RefSeq lists it as uncharacterized. The transcript has 2 exons. Lineage: Eukaryota; Viridiplantae; Streptophyta; Magnoliopsida; Brassicales; Brassicaceae. The record is from RefSeq and is a predicted model, not a curated record.